Molecule: transfer RNA, 69 nt
Filed under: Rattus norvegicus (Norway rat)
Lineage: Eukaryota; Metazoa; Chordata; Mammalia; Rodentia; Muridae
Rfam family: tRNA
About the family: Transfer RNA (tRNA) molecules are approximately 80 nucleotides in length. Their secondary structure includes four short double-helical elements and three loops (D, anti-codon, and T loops).
Source: Rfam by way of RNAcentral
GGGGAUUUAGCUCAGAGGUAGAGCGCUUGCCUAGGAAGCGCAAGGCCCUGGGUUCGGUUCCCAGCUCCG